UCCCAGACUCCUACGGGAGGCAGCAGUGAGGAAUAUUGGUCAAUGGGCUUACGCCUGAACCAGCCAAGUCGCGUGAGGGAAGACUGCCCUAUGGGUUGUAAACCUCUUUUGUCAGGGAGCAACGCCGGCUACGUGUAGCCGGACUGAGAGUACCUGAAGAAAAAGCAUCGGCUAACUCCGUGCCAGCAGCCGCGGUAAUACGGAGGAUGCGAGCGUUAUCCGGAUUUAUUGGGUUUAAAGGGUGCGUAGGCGGAUUGAUAAGUUAGAGGUGAAAUGUCCGAGCUUAACUCGGGAACUGCCUCUAAUACUGUUGAUCUAGAGAGUAGAUGCGGUAGGCGGAAUGUAUGGUGUAGCGGUGAAAUGCUUAGAGAUCAUACAGAACACCGAUUGCGAAGGCAGCUUACCAAUCUAUAUCUGACGUUGAGGCACGAAAGCGUGGGGAGCAAACAGGAUUAGAUACCCCUGUAA
Molecule: ribosomal RNA, 468 nt
Filed under: uncultured bacterium
Lineage: Bacteria
Description: bacterial SSU rRNA
Rfam family: Bacterial small subunit ribosomal RNA
Source: RNAcentral